Molecule: ribosomal RNA, 110 nt
Filed under: uncultured eukaryote
Lineage: Eukaryota
Description: partial small subunit ribosomal RNA
Source: RNAcentral
ACCCGAAACUGRUUUAGCUAACYGUAAAAAGAGGCGAUCAGUGAAGGUGAAGAGGGUGAUUGGGGUGAAGUCGUAACAAGGUAGCAGUAGGUGAACCUGCAGAAGGAUCA